Schistocerca americana (American grasshopper) is the source of this 622-nucleotide long non-coding RNA. RefSeq lists it as uncharacterized. The transcript has 3 exons. NCBI's taxonomy places the organism in Eukaryota, Metazoa, Arthropoda, Insecta, Orthoptera, Acrididae. The record is from RefSeq and is a predicted model, not a curated record.
GUAAAUGCGUCUUCACCGAUGUUAGAAUUGUAACUCGUUGUUACAAGUGCCUGUCGUCUGCUUAAAAGCGCAUCAGAUUCACACCAACGCGCGAAGCAAUGCGCUUUUACGCACGCCUUCCAUUUCGAGGAAACCAUACAUGCACAAAUGCGUAUGCAUAGUUGCGUUGCUGGGAAUGUAAGUGCAUACGCAAAGAUGAACAGAAAAAGUAAUAGUGUGGAUGCUCAUUUACAAUCCAGACAGGCUUGAGGAAAUGCAAAAAAUAACUCGCAAGGGCAUAAAACAAGAAGAGAUUCAACCUGGAAAUAUGAAGGUUUGGUCAGAUCCUUUUGGCAGAAAGAAGGACUGAAAGAAACUUUUCCACUUUUUUGUGUGCAGUUUAUUUGUGUGUGCCGUAGGAGUACUGGUGCUUGUAACAUUGUACAUUUGUAUUUCGAGAAUGAUGACGACGAAAAUAUUCUAAUAUCCGCCGUCUUGUCAGAAAUUUGUAGUUAACAGGUAUCAUCUUUUGAUAAUUUAUUGACUUAGCUAAUUAAUAUGAUAUGAAAAAUUCUGUAUAUUUGUAAUACUUGUACCGUUAGAGGACAUCUUGGAAAUAAUAAAAAACAUGCAUGUUUGCACA